UCUAUAAUAUACUCUACAGUACAGUACAAUAUAGUAUAGUACAUAGACACUAUGGGUGCGUUCGGGGAGACGCUAUUAGCGCUAACAGCAUCGUUCUAUCUUUGUUACUUAUUGAAAGUUGAACAAGGACAGAACACGCUCAUAGCGCUAAAAGUGUGCUCCCCGAACGCAGCCUAUAGGAUACCAUACUACACUAUAGGGGUCUAUAAUUUUGUAAGCAAAUCCAGAAAAGUAUCUAAUGGUGAUAAACGAUCUGCAGAAGGAAAUGCUGCCAAACCUAGAACAAUUCACAGUUCGACUCUGAGAUAUUUCACCGCACAAAAUAUUAGCGGCAUGUUCUCUAGCUCGCAGCAUUAAGCUAACUGGAUGCAACCAUUGAUUCAAGAGUCUUUUUGCACGAGAUCUCGGCAAGAAAGACAACAAUUUCAAUUUCUGAACGACAUUUUCUUUUGUAUCGCUUAUAUCUAAAUAAAAAAUCAUCAAUUUACAGCAAAAUGUCUACACAUACCGGCUAGAAUAAUCUUGGUAACGUCAACUUGGAGUUCAAAUACCGAACGUUCGACAUAUUGCAGAAACAUCGAGUAUUUAAGAGUGCGAUAACCGAGAUAAGUAAAAAACGAUGCAAAUCCCUGUGGCACCGGGAAUGCGAUGUUCUCUAUUGCGUGUCUAUAUCGUUGCAAGAGCAUAAAUAGCAACCAUCGUCUUGCCUCGUCCAAUUGAUCUCUGUAUAAAGUAACAUUAUAUGAAAUGAGAACAUAUAAUAUAACAAUGAAUUAAGUAAAU
Formica exsecta is the source of this 783-nucleotide long non-coding RNA. RefSeq lists it as uncharacterized. Lineage: Eukaryota; Metazoa; Arthropoda; Insecta; Hymenoptera; Formicidae. The transcript is spliced from 4 exons. The record is from RefSeq and is a predicted model, not a curated record.